GCGGGUGUAGCUCAGUGGUAGAGCGUCACGUUGCCAACGUGACUGUCGUCGGUUCGAAUCCGAUCACCCGCUCCA
Molecule: transfer RNA, 75 nt
Filed under: Candidatus Woesearchaeota archaeon
Lineage: Archaea; Nanobdellati; Candidatus Woesearchaeota
Description: tRNA-Gly
Rfam family: tRNA
About the family: Transfer RNA (tRNA) molecules are approximately 80 nucleotides in length.
Source: RNAcentral